CCCGAAUUCAAGUGAUUCUCCUGCCUCAGCCUCGGAGUAGCUGGGACUACAGGCGCCUGCCACCACGCCCGGCUAAUUGUUUUGUAUUUUUAGUAAGGCAGGGUUUCGCCAUGUUGGCUAGGCUGGUCUGGAACUCCUCACCUCAGGUGAUCUGUCUGCCUCAGCCUCCCAAAGUGCUGGGAUUACAGGCAUGAACCAGCGCACCCGGCCUUCAAUAUGAUUUUUUAAAUGGUCAAAAAUAAUGCAGAGGAAAGGAAAAAAAUCUAACUCUAAGCUAACCCUAACCCAAAACAAUUAACAAGUGUCUGUAGGUACUGAAUUGGUAAUACUCCAGUAAAACAUUUAGCUGCUGUCAGAAUACACCACCCUCCUUGGUUAUAAUCUGACCUAAACAGAAGGAAAAACAACUGACUGCAGAGGAAGAACUUAACAGACCUGGUUAAAAUUCUUAUUCUGCCACUUACAAGCUGGGUGAUUUUAGAAAAGAAAUUUAUCCUAACAUUCAAUUUUCUCAUCUCAAAAGUAGAGAUAACAUCUUCCUCACAGGGCUACUGUAGGGGAUAUCUGUUCUUCAAAAUUUACAGGUCAAAAGUAACAAGAGAAUGAGAAGCAGAUGGAAGUAUAGCUAAAACAAGAUUGGCCAUGACGUGAUGAUAACUGAAUCAAAAUGAUGGGUACAUCAUAGCUCAUUCUUCUAUUGCCUAUCUUUCUGUGUUUUUGAUUUCCAUUAAGAAUUAUAAAAAUACAGCCGGGCAUGGUGGCUCACGCCUGUAAUCCCAGCACUUUGGAAGGGAAAGGCAGGUGGAUCACUUGAGGUCAGGAGUUCAAGACCAGCCUGGCCAACAUGGUGAAACCCUGUCUCUAGUGAAAAAAAAAAAAAAA
RNAcentral lists this long non-coding RNA (882 nucleotides) under Homo sapiens (human). RNAcentral's name for it is "HSALNT0136778". Lineage: Eukaryota; Metazoa; Chordata; Mammalia; Primates; Hominidae. The record is from RNAcentral.